UAUAUAUUAGUAAUCAAUAUGUUCGCAUUGUAUUCAAUGUAGGGUUGUUUUCUCCAACAAGUGGCUCUAGAAAGAGACGGAAAUCGGUUGAUUCAAUAAGCUGCAAUAGCAAAAAUGCUUCCUAGAGUCUCAUCCAUUACACCGCUUACUCUAAACUUUUUUCCUCUCCUUAUUUAGUCGGCCGGAUGCCGGCCUAGCUCACUCCAAAUUCAAUAACAACUUUUUUUUGAAAGCUAAAAAAACGAAAAUUGCGCUGAUUAAACAGCAGAAGGUCAGUUAAAGCCUUUCUGACCCACUUUUCUCUCCCUCCUUUCUCUUUUUGCCUCCAAUUGUCUCCUGACGCUCCUGUUGGUUCUGCUUGUGGUAGCUCUGUACAAACCCAUCGCUAGACCAGAGUAGCACAUUCUGUCUUUUCCCAGUGUUUCUAUCUCAUUUUUCGUCUCCUUUCCCGCUUCUCGUGUUCCAUUUCUUGCUCAUGCAUCAAAGCGACCUAGAUGAUUUAUAACCCAAGACUAGGAAAAACCCGAGUGCUGCCUAGGCGUUGCUUGCGGUGCUCGUUCACGGUGGUCUACUGCAAGAAAUAUGGACGAGCUCUGAAUGCUGAAGGACCGUUGAAAAGGGGGUUCAUCGGAAAAUUAGAGCUGCGCAAAGAAAGCUGCCGUACAGUUGUAACAGCAGCGUAUUUCAACGGGUGGGCGCAAGGCGGAUUGCGAUAACGGCGGCGAUGAGAAGCCAUCCGUCAGUGUACUAAGAAGUGGAUGUGACUUCGAAACAAAGAAAAGUUCGCAGCCCAGAUCGGCGCAUCAUAGCAUCGUCACUAAUCACUCACCUCCGCCGUGUGCACUCUUCAUUGUUGAGUCUGGCGCAUCUGUUAUAUAUAUAUAUGUAUAUAUAAGGCUCGACACCCUCACUCUGUGCCUGCCCUUCAAGGGAAUGCUGGCAGAUAUUUGCAACGGCUCGCACAAAGCAGCGAACAAGUUUAUAGCCUCAUUGGCUUAGGAUUUGCUCGUAGUUUUCAUAUUUGUCAAACUGCAAUCGGUAAGAAUAUCGUAGGUGGUGAAAAAGACUCUAUUUUUAAAAGGCGACCAACACCGGUGAGCAUUGACGGAUGAUUGUACUCGGCUAUGUUUUCAACAGAGAGACAUGACCAGGCUAGUAAGUUACUUCUAUCAACGACAUCUUCCAGUAAAGUAUGCUAGUUAUCAUAGAGGAUUAAUCAGUUUAGAAUGUUUGGUUUAAUUCUGACGAAUAACGAUUUCAGACUAGAUAAAACGACUGGAGUACUGAAGUGCGAUGCCUCUUAUAGAAUGAUCUGACUGGUAGCCCAGCCAUUGGCUGCCAGAUGAAUUAGGACUUUGAAGAAAUUAGGUGAGGCUAUUUAAAUAGGAAGAUAAAAUAAACCUAUACCGAUCUAACCUAUAGGGACCUCAAAUCAUCUCGUUUAAUCUAAUUAAGAAGGAAUUAUGGAUCUCGGGAAACUGCUCCUGCAGUAGUUAAAGUGUUUAAUCUCAUCAAGAAAUAUAUAAUUAGAAAAAUUAUCUCCUUUUUUGAUUCGGGUUUUUUAAAUCAUAGAUGCUAUCCAAGGGAUCUCGAAAUGUUAAUUUCGAUUUUGAAAUUCUCACAGGAUAUGUCUGUUUAAUAACUUCAUAGUGAUGAUGCAAUGUGAUAAUAAUAAUAAUAAUAACACAUUAACAAAAUAAGAUAGCAGCCAUUCUUCAUCGGAUUAGGUGACCGCGGCGGUGUGGAGGAGCUUUUCGGCCUAACAUGGCCGUUGGAUCGCACCCAGUUUACCAUUGACUCGCUAAUUAUUCUUAGACUAACCGGUGCCGAUGUAGGUCUUUGUUGUUAAAUAUUCUCUCAAGCAACCUAACCUAAUCUACUUCCCUCUUGAAUAUAGACACUGUGGCUCGUCGCUUUCGUCCUCGUCUGUUGCAUCUUUUUCCUGAUGCUACCGUUCAGUGCUGCUGCUGCUGUUGGAGAUGCUCGUUGUUACGUUCUUAUCGUCGUCGUUGAAAAAGCCUUUCGUUGUACGGAAUGUCACCGCAUCCGUGUUUUUCUGAUCUGCUCUGACCGUCCGUGGCUGGAGCAGACCUUUUUGCCAACGUCAGCAAAGGAAGAAGUAAGCGUUAAUAUCGACCGUCUUAAGGCUCAGGUCAAACUGAGAAAGCAGCGAGUAGAAGGCAGACGAAAAUCUUCCUAUAAUCGAAUUACA
Molecule: long non-coding RNA, 2212 nt
Filed under: Varroa destructor (honeybee mite)
Lineage: Eukaryota; Metazoa; Arthropoda; Arachnida; Mesostigmata; Varroidae
Description: uncharacterized LOC111252008, transcript variant X1
Source: RNAcentral